CUAAACGCCAUUAUGGCGAUAUCAUGAAAAACAUAAUUUGUGAAGAACUUCGAGAUGCAAUGAAAUAUGAUUGUGAUAUCUUUAUUCAACAAUGCUCUGUCAUUAGAUAUUACUCCAGAUGAUCCAGUAGAAAGAAUAAAACAAUGCUUGGUUAACGCUGAAUUUGGCUAUGGACUUUAUAAUGUUGAAACUGAAUUAUUCUAUGCUGAAGUGGAUCAAGAAUUAAAAAUGUGGAAUGAAAAAUUUUUAGAAUAGGGUACCUCUAAAUAUACAAAUAGAAUGAAAGAAAAUAUGAAACAUCAAUUAUGUUUAUUAUUAAAUACGUUAGACAAAAAUAAUUGCGAAUAUGAAAUUACAAAAUGUUGUAACGAUUUUGUAGCAAGUUAUAACCUAGAAUAGAAACUUAAUAUCAA
Daktulosphaira vitifoliae (grape phylloxera) is the source of this 413-nucleotide long non-coding RNA. RefSeq lists it as uncharacterized. The transcript has 3 exons. NCBI's taxonomy places the organism in Eukaryota, Metazoa, Arthropoda, Insecta, Hemiptera, Phylloxeridae. The record is from RefSeq and is a predicted model, not a curated record.